GACGGAGGGGGCAAGCGUUGUUCGGAUUUAUUGGGCGUAAAGGGCUCGUAGGCGGACUGGUAAGUCUGGCGUGAAAUCUCCACCACUCAACGGGGAGGGGCCGUCGGAAACUGCCAGUCUGGAGUACGGUAGAGGACCAUGGAAUUCCAGGUGUAGCGGUGGAAUGCGUAGAGAUCUGGAGGAAUACCGGUGGCGAAGGCGGCAUCCUGGACCGGCAUUGACGCGUGAUGCGCGAAAGCC
RNAcentral lists this ribosomal RNA (240 nucleotides) under uncultured bacterium. RNAcentral describes it as "partial 16S ribosomal RNA". It matches the Rfam family "Bacterial small subunit ribosomal RNA", at positions 524 to 761 of the family's 1533-position model. The record is from RNAcentral.